GUGAUUGGUCGACACACUCGUGUCCCCCCACUCAUAUCCUUUUCGACUCUUUCGAUCGCGGAAUAGGAAGUUUUGAUUGUAUUGCGUAAAUUGAAAUGAAUUACCCGAAAAGAAAAAUAAAUAUAACGAAUGAUUCUCUCUGAAAGCAUAUACUUUGCCACUGUGUAAUAAAGAAAGAGAGACGCGUGUUAACUAAAACAAUAAAAAGAGAACAGAAGAUUGUAAAGAACAGAGGGUGUGAAAAUAAGAAAAAACCAGAAACAAGAAAAUAAAAAUAAUUUGUCCAGUUAAUGAGAUCAUCAUAGGAAAAUCUACUUCCUUCGGACCCAUGACAUUUCGAUUCUUUAUAUGGUGUAAUACGUGGUAUUAAUUGAUCCGUGUAGAAGAUAAUAUAACCCCAUCCACCAAGCCUCGCCUCGGAAAUUAGCUGGGUGUUCGGAUGUGACGAUUUCGGGAAGAGUCUCGCCUUCGAAGGUCAUCCUUUCAAUAAUUUUUGAACGAGUAAUGUGCAAAGAUAUAGAAGACGAAACGGAGGCGAAAGCAGUUCCAAUAUUCUUGAAUUAUUGCGAAAGAGCAGAAUCGACUGCUAUCUGAAUUGUAAUUACUUCCAGAGAAGAUACGAGAAUUUCAACCACGCUCAACGUGAUAAUUAAACAUUCGACGUCCUAAGUGAAACGCAUUUACAUUGCACUUCCUGUUCUUCUUUACAUCCGACGAUACAUCCAACAUGGAUAAUAUAAAUGUCCGAUCAUCAACCAGAUUAAGAAACGAAAACGUUUUCCUCUUUAAUUUUAUAUUUAAAUGAAUUUUAUGAAGUCGACAAAUGUAUUUCUAUUGAUAAGUGAAUUCAUUAAAAAACUUCCAUAUGGUAUGAAACCCAAGUUGAAGAGAAAGGCAUCUAAUUAUCUGGAAAAAAACAUGUUGCCAUUGCUAUAGCAUUACUAUAGCAACCAUCGACUUCAAUAUUGAAUUUUAAUAGACAAGCGCAUUGGAUCAUGAAAACAGAAGAGUGGUUCAAGAAACAGUUGAAAAUUCUAACCAAAAAAGGAACAUCGUCAGCUAUUGCCUUUUAUACAUUAUGUGAUUAAAAAUACCUAGGAAAAGGAAAAAGAAGAAAAAACAUUUGUGUUUGACGAUACAAGACCAAUGGCGCUAUUUUAUAAAGCUUGGAGCGGUGGUACGAAGAAAUGGGAAGGAUUUACGUUUUCCAAAGGAUCUAAAGACCAAGCAGAUAAUUGGAAAUUAGCUCUAUAGUUCAAUUGUCUAUUAAGAUUCAUCGUUUCAUAAGACGGUUACAUAUUCUGCAGAGCAUUAGACUAUUUUCUAAGCAUCAAAUUGAUUUGGAAUAUAAUAUAUGAAAUAUUUUAUACCUGUAAGUAUAAUGGGAGCAUUGUUUUGCAUUCUCCGAUAGGGAGUAAAUUUCUAGGAAAAUGUACCCGUUCAUGCAGAAGAAUCAAAUCAAUCGUGGAUGGUUGAAUCUGCAAAAGAUUUAACCAGGGAAUUAAAGGAUUCAGCCAAAUGGAUAAUUGAAUUAUAACGCUAAUCGUAUUAUCGAAUUCUCUGCCUGGUUUUAUGAGAGGAAAACUAAUGAAAAUAAACCUUUUUGUUUUUAAAACAUGAUAGGAGAUGUACAGACACACUACUCAUACCCACCCACUCAUUCCCACCCACUUGCACCCGCGCACGUAAGCGCGCACGUGCACGGAGAGAGAUAAUAAUAAAUCGUUUAAUAUGAUGGUGCUGGAUGAGAAGGUAGUGCGUACGUGCAGAUCGUUAAAUUCCGAUCAAUACCCGUUAAUAGAAGAAUUUGGAAACAUGGAGGAUCAUAUAUCUUUGCAAAAAAAUUAAAAUUUUGUCCUUUAUAAUUUCCUACGAUGUCUAUGAUAAAUGUUGAAUCAAUUCUCUUUCCACAUUAUCAUCCCUCGCAUUAUGUAUGAGAUCUCUCCGUUUUUUUGUUGGAUGUCAUCACUAUCACUCUUAUCGUUUUCUUCCCGUAUAAUAUUUAUUUUUUCUAACAUAUCUAUAUAAAUGUCUAUCUGGAAUUCCUCUUUGGUAUUACUUAUGACACGAAACUCACUUGUGUUUGGAUAUUUUGUCGUUCUUUUAAUGAAAAUGAAAUAAGUAAUUGAAAGCGUUGGUAGUCUCAAAUUGUAUAUUACGAAAUCACGAAACGAUAUAUACCAAAAGAAUAUUACUUUUCUGAUUUUCUGGCUUAUUAAUUUAGGGAACUAUCUAUUUCACUUGAAGUUUCAAUACGAAGCGAGUUCAACUUCCAAAAUCUCCUCAGUUUUAUGAUUGCUUGUUUACUCCAUCAAAUAUCACUACCUCGUACGGGGUGUACUCACGUACCAUUAGCAGAAAAUUCGUUAUCACUCUCUUUAAGUGGUUUAGUGAAGCCCCCAGACCAUUGUGAAUGUACUUCUUUUUCGUAAAGCCGACUAAUAUACUUUUCAUAUAACUUGGUAAUUUGACCAUUUCUUGAUUCACUAACUGAGUGGUUCUCUCGGAGGGGAAAUACGGGAAAAAGAGGAAGGUAAUAUUAGGAACGCAUAAAUGUGACGAAAGAUUUUCUCCGAGUACAUGUUUUUAUUAUUGUGCAAUAACGAAAAUGAAUUCUCCGAUAACUUGGUCAAUAUGUAUUUUUUUACAAGGAAGGAAAGUGAUAUAUGGAGAAAAUGUUUUCCCGGAAUAUGGAAGUAAAUAUAAUUUCCGAUGAAAACAUUUUUUUACAAGAGGAAAAUUUUUUUGGAAGUAAAAAAUUUUUGUACUUUCUACUUCGACAUUCCUUGAAAACAUUGUAUCCAAUAUUACUUUUCCUUCUUGUAAACAAAUACCUAUUGCUUAAGUUAACAAAGACUUCCUUUUCUUUAUUACGUAAUAGUAAUAAAAUAUAUGGCUUCAGAUACAAUCUUUUCUCCUAUUUAUUUUCUUUUUGUAAUAUUACCUUCUUUUUUUUUACGUAUUUCUUGAACGUGAGGAUCUCAGAGUUAUUUAAUGAUUAUGGAGAAUCCACUGUUUCCACCGCAACUUUUUGAGAAAUACAUUUCUCUGAAGUUUUCUAUUGAAGUGGCACAAAAAAACAAAUCAAAUAAUCGUCCAAUUACUAAGUUUUAUUUAAAGAAUAUCAGUCGAUUUCACGAAAGAGAACAUGGGAAGUGCUUUCACAACUGAGCCCUUGUAUAUUACAAACUCUGAGCCCUUCUCUGAUCCGCUUAAGGAGACUCGUAAGUGAAACUUGUAUAUAUAGUGAAAUUUGAUGAAGUAAACAACCGAUCCUAAAACUGGAGAAACAGAUUUUCAGAGCUGAAAUCAGUUCGUAUUGAAGCUUCGAGUAGUAUGAUAGAUCCCUAGAAUAAUUACUGAGAAAAUCAGGAAAGUAUUAUAUUAUUGUUAUGUAUCAUUCCGUUAUUUCGUAAAAUGCAAUUAUCUCCAUUUCGUUUAUUUCUCCAUUUUUUUUCUUUUCUUUUUUUUUAAUUAGGAGAACAGCAAAGUGUCCAAAUACGUACAAGUCUCAUGAUAUAAAAUAUAAGUAGUGAGGAAGAAUUCCAGGAAGGCAUUUAUACAGUCACGUUAGACAAAAUAAAUAUUAAUCCGGAAGAAAACGAUAGAAGUGAUAGUUUUAUCAUCUAGCAAGAAAACGAAGAGAUCUCAGUGGAGAAAGAGAUGAAAAUGUUGUAAUUGAAUUGCUUCAAAACUAAUCAUAGAUUUUGUAGAAAAUAAUAAGGGAUAAAAUUUUUGUCUUUUUGUAAAAAAAUAUGUUCUUCAAUAUCUACGAAUUAACAUAAAUCAAGCAACCUUAUAAUACAUUAUGUGUUUUUAAAAUAUAUAUUCUGAUAUACCAUGUCUGCGCGAUAAAGUUCCAUCGAUUUGUUCAGAGCUGACGUCCGAAAGGCUCAGGGCAGAUAUGGUUAUUACGUUUUACGCACAUUAAUUGCUUACACGGACGGAAAGGUCAAAAAUGAAAUUAAUUAAGGGAAAAUGAACUUCUGUUUUAUUAAUGUACCAUAUUUUUUAAUUCGACGUAUUACUUUUGCCUCUUCUUUUCUUUUUUUUCUUCUUUUCUUUACAGUUUAUAAUCUGAAAUUAACUACAGAAUGUUGACGAUUAACAAUUAAUUUUUUUCAUAUUUAUGUGCUUAAGAAUGACUAUCAGUAAGAAUUAAUUUCUCCCUUUUUUAUCUCUUGAAAUUAUCAUUUCUUUUCUUGUAUUACGCAAUGAUAAGGAAUAUUGAUUCAGAAAAAAUCUUUCGCCAUAUGUUUUUUUUUUUUUUUUUUUUUUUCGUUAUAUCAUCUUUUUCCCUUUUACGUAUUUCAUUUGAACGUCGGUUUAUACAAGUCACUAAAAAUUUCCUGUUUCGCGGCCAAAUGGGCUGAAAAGGAUAUCGGUUGGAAGGAAAUGGAUUUCUCGACCAAUCUCUUUUAAUUCGGCCAAAUAUUAUUCGUUCGAGUAGCGGUAUGACUAGACGGAAUAUACCUUUUUCAAAGGAUUCAUAGAUGGGGAGCAUUAGCUAGAGGGUAUAAUCGAUUCGAGUCAAAUAGGCCGUUGAAAGGUUGUCCGACUUUGCAGGUGGAACAUGAAUCAAAGUGGAAUUCAGAUGGAACUGAGGAAAGUUUAUCUUCUAACAUAAUUAAAUCUACGAAAACGAUAUAAAGAUCCAUCGCUUUUCGAGAUAAUAAUGUUAGCCCUAGAAUACUUUUAAAUUAUACGAAAAAUGUUAAUUCCAUGUUUACGUCAUAGUGUCAUUGUUAUUUAUCAAUUUAACUCGAGUAGUUGUUUUAUCUAAUUAUAAAUAGAAGAAAUUUUGAGUUCAAUGUUUCAAAUUAUACACCAUAAUAUUCACGAUAUGUAAUGAAAAAAAAUUUAUCAUAUUUAAUGUACGUUUUUUAGUAAUAUCGAAAUUUGAAUGAAUUAAUUUGCUGUGUAAAGCAAAUUCUCUUGUUUAUAAGUUUUGAUUGGGUUUUACUGAAAAUGCAUGUACGUCUUACGUUCUCCAUACGUAUCGUCAGGUACUUAUCGAUUAAACGAUUUGUUAUUACCUCUUUCCAUGCACCUGUGCUCUUGUGUUCGCUCAUGCGAGCUAGUUCAUGUGGGUGGGAUUACGUGCGCGGUUCUGUGGGCGUGCAUGCGUAUAUCACCUCCCUUAUUUUGACAAGAAGAAAGGUAUUUUUUCAUUUAUUUUCCUCCCAGUAAACCAAGCAGAGAAUUCGAUAAUAAUAUUAGUAGUGCAUUUUAAUUACAUAUUUAGAUAUAUUAUUUAAUUUGCAAAUCGAAGUAUCACGACUAAUUUAGUACUUUCAUAGGAACGAAUACAUUUUCCUACAAAUUUAUUCCAGACUGGACAAUUUCAAAGAAAGAUCCAUCAUACUUCGAGUAGUCAAACAUUUCGCAUAUUACGCUCCAAACUAUUUAGUUUCUCGGAAAAUACUAUCUAUCUCGAUCUUUUUAUUUCUCAUUACGUAUAACCGAGUAUAGAAACGAGUUCGUUAUAUUUCUAGUAAUAUAAUAUGACAAAUUUAUUUAGCAUUUUUCUAAUAUUUACUCGAAUGAUCAUAAGUGUACAUAUAAUAAACAUUUACAUAAUGUGGCCAUUCCCCAAACGUAGUAUAGAUCUAUUAUAUUGUUUUCUUACUAUCGUCGUUCGAUCAAAUGGUCGACAUCGCUCAAAGUAAAAAUAAUAAAUAUUGUAGGAAGAAAGCUCUUCUUUCAGAUACGCUUUUCUUUUAAAUACAAUUUUGGAAGUCUGCUUUUCUUGAUAAUGUCGACGUUCUCUUCACGAAAAUUAUAUAAAUAUGAAUAAAUAUGUACCAAACACAAGAUCCUCCUUGAAAAGUAGAUAAACUAAAUUCGAUGUUUACAAAAUAAACUAAUCAAGAGGAAGAGAUGAGGUAUAGAGAAAGACCGAUAAGCGGAAUCGAAUGGAAAAAAGAAGUAUAUAGCCAAAAAGAAAUUUCCCCUUUGAGAUCGUAUCUAUCCAUUAUUAUGGGUAACAUUGUGAGGAGAUUAUCGCGGAUGACACAAUAUCUCGUUAAUAUAUGCAAAACAGUGAGGACCAGAAUAAAUGGUGACAAAAUUUAAUUUGAUAAUUGAAUUUAUUGAAUUCUUUAAAUAGGAGUACAAUAUUGAUCCUGAGUCUUGUCAACUCCCAUACAGGUUCUUGGAGACACAAAAAGAUGGAACUAUAUAUAAGCACCUCCGCAGACACGAUAAUGGACUAUACCGUCUAUAUCAUUUCAAACAACACUCUCGAUAAGAUAUUUUAAUUUAAUUUUUUAAUUUUUUUUAUCUUCAUUUACCAGUGUCAAUUGAUUAUUCAGCGGGAUCAUUAUUGCUAUUAUACAGCCAGUCCUGUAAGAGGUAAUUAUUAAUAGAGGAGGAUAAAACAACUUUCACUUAGAACUUUGUAAGUUCAUUACAUAUUGUUUAAAGUCAGGUUGUAGAUAAAAUUAUAUAAAAUUUUUCCUUAUAUUUGCUACGUCCAGUAAUGAAAUUUUCACUAUUCUUUUCAGACGACAGACAGAUUCUAUGCAUACAUAUACAUACACACACAUAUAUAUAUGUGUAUAUGUAUGUAUACACACACAUUCACAAAUUCGUUUGAACAUUUCGUAGAUCGUAACGCGCGAGGAACAUGAAAUAAUUUUAAUCUAAAAUUUUAACAAUUUCUAAUUUUAAUCUCAGAGUGGUUGCAUCUGAGUUGCAUCGCUACGUGUAAUGUCAAUAAAAACGAACCUUUGAAUGAAUUUGCAGGUUGCCUUCACUUUCCACAGAUGAAAAUUUCAAACUUUUUGAAAUGGCGGUCGUUCGCUAUCUGUAAAGUAAAAAUGAUUGAUUUGGACAGUUGCCAGAUCGGUCAUCCUUUCUACUCCGACGAGGAAACAUCGGACAUCUGUCGAUGCCGCCUGCAAAAAAUGAAGAAAAUUUCGUUCACAUACGUGUAUAUAUGAAAAAUAUUAUUUAAGUUUCUCCAAAACAAUAAGAAUAUAACACGAUCAAAUCAGAAAUUUAAAGCAGAAUUUUUACAAAAUUUAUUAUUAUAAUUAUUGCUCGCCGCUAACGGAGGAAAUGAGGAAUUACUUACAGCAAAUUGCCAGGAAUAAAUGCACGUGGUAGCCAUUGAUGUUCCUCCUUAAUGGUUCCUUGAAUUAUGCGGUCCUCUCUUCUUGAGGUGUAUAUAAGGAAUAUUAACUUCUCGCGAAGUGUGUGGUAACACCGCAUGGAAAACUAUAUCCUGGAAAUAGAAGGAAUUAUCAGUUUAAUACUUUAUAUCAUUGCACUCUGUUUUCGCAUAAUAAAUAAAAGAGAAAAUACAUGAGCUGAUUUUAAACAGAAUGUAAUGAUACUACUAGUGAAAACAGUUCUAUCUCCCUCCGUUAAAAAUUAUGACCUGCAGAUUAGUUCUUAAUAAUGCAUUACGAUUCAUUUAUCGAAAGACAAUUCUGUAACAAACCGUUGAUUAAAAAAGGAGACUGUCAAAUGUAACCAUUCCAAGGGAUAUUCGUGUUAUCUAAAUAUUUCACUAAAUUUUCGGACAGAUAACCCCAAUUAUACUAUUUUCUCUGUUUAAUAUUAUACAAUAAUAUAUCCGAGACAAAUUGCACGAUGUAAUAUAUAGUGUAAAAUCAUAAUAAAAAACUAUACAACUUUCUAUCAUAUAUUAUAAAAUAUACUAUGUAUAAGACAGUAGAAUUGAACAAAAAAUUGUAGAAAAUACAGUAGAAUGCGUUAAUAUUAAAUUAUAAGUAUAUAAAAUUCAAAUAAGAUUUAACUAACCGAGAGCGUGUUGCUUAAAAUGUUACAGAUGGUUGCCAUUAUCGCGACUGGUGAGGCGCUUUUAUAUUACUCCCGACCGUCCAUCUCCAAGGGCCUCCAUGAACGUGCCUUUGGGACGACUCGAAACAGAAUGAUCGUUUCAUUCGAUUCCCGCUGAUGGAUCAUAUCCCCCACCACCCCGCAGUAACUCGAGCAUGCGCUGUUUGGUCCCACUCCCUCUUUUACAUAUAUCCACGAGGGUAGCAUCUUCGUUUACCUCUUCACAAUGUUAACAAUAACUUUGGAUUGAUAUUACCGUAAAAGGGAAAUUUCUUUGGCCUUUAUCUUACUUUUCUCCUUAUGAUCCCUUUUUCUCCUGUGAUUCCACUCUUCCUCAUUCUCUAUAUUCGUAUCUUUCCGAUCGUUCCACUUUGAAAAAAUCGAAUUGUGUUUAUCUUCUUUCCGAAAGGAAAAUUUUUGUUGGUAUUUAUACAUUCAUAUUUAUAUAUUUUUUGCGAAAAGCAUUCAAAAUAUUGUUAUUAAAAGAAAUGGUAAUCAAUCUCAUAGAAAAUCUCCAUACAAUAUUUAUAACUUACGACUUGUGCGAUGUGGAUCUGUUGAUCGAAUAACUAUGGCUAGAAAGAAAUAUAAUAGAUAUCUAUUGUGUUAUAAUAAAUAUUAUGAUAGUGUUACAUUCAAUGUUUGCUUGUUCACAAAAGAGUCGUAGAGACAAUACAUUCGGAAACUACAAAUGUUAUCUUACUAGAAAUAUAAUAAAAUUGUCGCCAUGCUCGGUUAUGCGUAAUAGAAAUAAACAAUUCUCAAAUAAAGAUUGAGUAAUAAAAUAUCUUCCAAGCAAUUGAUUGGUUUGGAACAUAAUAUACAAAAUAUUAGAUAACUGGAGGGAUUAUUGGAUCAUUGUUUUCACUUCUUCAACAGGGAGCUAAUAUCAAGGAAAAUGUACUCGUUCGAACGGAAUAAUUAAAUCAGUUUCGCGCCCAUAGCUAUGAAAAGAUGUAGCCGAGUGAUUAAAUGAUGUAUUUAAAUAGAUAA
Vespula vulgaris is the source of this 8802-nucleotide long non-coding RNA. RefSeq lists it as uncharacterized. The transcript has 7 exons. The record is from RefSeq and is a predicted model, not a curated record. NCBI's taxonomy places the organism in Eukaryota, Metazoa, Arthropoda, Insecta, Hymenoptera, Vespidae.